RNAcentral lists this transfer RNA (356 nucleotides) under uncultured Microcystis sp. RNAcentral's name for it is "partial 16S-23S ribosomal RNA intergenic spacer". The stretch from base 133 to 206 matches the Rfam family "tRNA". The record is from RNAcentral. Lineage: Bacteria; Bacillati; Cyanobacteriota; Cyanophyceae; Chroococcales; Microcystaceae.
AAGGGAGACCUAAUUCAGGUAUGGGACGAAAAAAAAGUAGUCGCUACCAAGAAUCAAUCCCAAAAGGUCGGAGCGAGGUAUGAGGCUUUCAAACUAGGUUCUGGGUUCAAACAAGACCUGAAUCAGGAACAAGGGCUAUUAGCUCAGGUGGUUAGAGCGCACCCCUGAUAAGGGUGAGGUCCCUGGUUCGAGUCCAGGAUGGCCCACCUGCACAGGUGGCAAAAACAAGAGAAGCGAGGAAUCAGCACCUUAUCUUAUCUAUAUAUAAGAGAGAAUGCUGGCUCUGAGUAAAGAGUCCAGAGGAACCUUGAAAACUGCAUAGAGCUAGGUGAAAAAGCCAAAAAGGAAGACCGCAA